GAUGAACGCUGGCGGCGUGCCUAACACAUGCAAGUCGAGCGGAAGGACGAGAAGCGCGUGUCCCUAAGGUUAGCGGCGGACGGGCGAGUAACACGUGGAUAAGCAACCUAUAUUUCGGGGGGAACUUCGGGAAACCGGAGAUAAUACCGGAGAAUAUGAUCAACCGCAGGAAGCAGAGGUGAAUGAGGGUCUUGCUGUCACUUAUAGAUGGAGCCGCGUUGCAUUAGCUAGUUGGUAAGGUAACGGCUAACCAAGGCAACGAUCCGUAGCCGACCUGAGAGGGUGAUCGGCCACACUGGAACUGAGACACGGUCCAGACUCCUACGGGAGGCAGCAGUAGGGAAUCUUGGGCAAUGGGCGCAAGCCUGACCCAGCCAUGCCGCGUGGGUGAAGAAGGCCUUCGGGUUGUAAAGCUCUUUUGUUAGGGAAGAACAGCAGCAUAUUAAUCCCCCGCUGUUCUGACGGUACCCAAAGAAUAAGCACCGGCUAACUUCGUG
Molecule: ribosomal RNA, 497 nt
Filed under: uncultured bacterium
Lineage: Bacteria
Description: partial 16S ribosomal RNA
Rfam family: Bacterial small subunit ribosomal RNA
Source: RNAcentral